CCGCGUGAGUGAUGAAGGUCUUAGGAUCGUAAAGCUCUUUCGCCAGGGAUGAUAAUGACAGUACCUGGUAAAGAAACCCCGGCUAACUCCGUGCCAGCAGCCGCGGUAAUACGGAGGGGGUUAGCGUUGUUCGGAAUUACUGGGCGUAAAGCGUGCGUAGGCGGAUUAGAAAGUAUGGGGUGAAAUCCCAGGGCUCAACCCUGGAACUGCCUCAUAAACUACUAGUCUAGAGUUCGAGAGAGGUGAGUAGAAUUCCGAGUGUAGAGGUGAAAUUCGUAGAUAUUCGGAGGAAUACCAGUGGCGAAGGCGGCUCACUGGCUCGAUACUGACGCUGAGGUACGAAAGUGUGGGGAGCAAACAGGAUUAGAUACCCUGGUAG
This 379-nucleotide ribosomal RNA is filed under the name Roseobacter sp. Asnod6C1. RNAcentral describes it as "bacterial SSU rRNA". It matches the Rfam family "Bacterial small subunit ribosomal RNA", at positions 397 to 793 of the family's 1533-position model. Lineage: Bacteria; Pseudomonadati; Pseudomonadota; Alphaproteobacteria; Rhodobacterales; Roseobacteraceae. The record is from RNAcentral.